Molecule: long non-coding RNA, 754 nt
Organism: Panicum virgatum (switchgrass)
Lineage: Eukaryota; Viridiplantae; Streptophyta; Magnoliopsida; Poales; Poaceae
Exons: 2
Source: RefSeq, a predicted model, not a curated record
CCCACAGCUACCUUUUUUACCUUUACUUUUUUUUUCUCUUCCGCGGGAAGCGUCUCCUCCGCGGCCGGCGAUUCCUCCUCUGUUCCUCCAUCUUUUUCCCCCUCGUUAGAUCUGAGAUGACCAUGGCAGCCGGUGGCCAUGCCCAUGCGCAGCGGCUCUCGACGGAGGCCGGCACGACGGGGCAGCGAGCGUCGUUCUGCAGAGGCACGCUCCCACUCGCGACGACGCUGGGUGAGGAGGUCCUCACGUUGGGCUCGUAGCGCGCGGAGGGAGACAGCACAGCUCGGCUGCGACAAGGGUCAACGACAGCCUACCGUGGACAAGAAGCAGCAGCCUAGGUCGCCACUGGGGUUUCCAUUUCCAUUCCCUUUCUUCAUUCUUAGAUCCACUUCUCCCCCUUUUCGCCCUUUCUCUAUCUGACAGAUUCGGAGAUGGGAGCGGCAGCACCAGCAAGGGCGCAUAACCCCGGUUAAGGCGCAGGGUCCAGCGAGGGAUCGGCAUGUCCCCGGUCUGGAAGGAAAUGAAACAAUCUACUGCCAUUUUUUGCAAAAUUAGAUUGAAAUUCUCUUUUUCCCACUCUACUAUAUUUUUUGUUCUCACAUCUCGUAUACACUAUUUUUAUCUGAGCAUGCACCUAUGUUGGUCAGCUAAAUUUCUAUGGACCAUAUUUUUCUUUUCUGGUUUUUUCUAUCACAUAAUAUCAAUAUUAUGCUCAAAACUUGUUGGAAUAAGUUAUAUCCGACUACUGUUUUUU